UCAAGCUACUAAGGGCAUACGGUGAAUGCCUUGGCACUAAGAGCCGAUGAAGGACGUGGUAAGCUGCGAAAAGCUACGGGGAGCCGCAAGCAGGCUUUGAUCCGUAGAUGUCCGAAUGGGGAAACCCACCAUCCGUCAUGGGAUGGUAUCCUUCGGGAGGGGAACCCGGUGAACUGAAACAUCUAAGUAGCCGGAGGAAGAGAAAUCAAACGAGAUGCCCACAGUAGCGGCGAGCGAAGAGGGCAGAGCCUAAACCAGAGAGCUUCGGCUCCCUGGGGUUACGGACUGGCAUAAACCGAGUCAGGCCUAGCCGAAUCACCUGGAAAGGUGAGCCACAGACCGUGAGAGCCGGGUAGGCGAAAGGCAGAGCAAGGGGGCCAGUAUCCAGAGUACCGCGAAGCACGAGGAAUUUUGCGGGAAGUCGGGGGGACCACCCUCCAAGGCUAAACACUUCUUAGUGACCGAUAGCGCAUAGUACCGUGAGGGAAAGGUGAAAAGAACCGCGGGAGCGGAGUGAAAGAGAACCUGAAACCGUAUGUCUACAAGCAGUCGGAGCGCAAGCGACGGCGUGCCUAUUGAAGAAUGAGCCAACGAGUUACGGGCACCAGCGAGGUUAAGCAGGAAAUGCGGAGCCGUAGGGAAACCGAGUCUGAAAAGGGCGGAUAGUUGGUGUUCGUAGACCCGAAACUGUAGUGAUCUACCCAUGAUCAGGUUGAAGCACGGGUAAAAUCGUGUGGAGGACCGAACCGGUGAGUGUUGAAAAACUUUCGGAUGAAUCGUGGGUAGCGGUGAAAUUCCAAUCGAACGCAGAGAUAGCUGGUUCUCCUCGAAAUAGCUUUAGGGCUAGCCUCAGGCAGUAAGCAUAGGCGGUAGAGCACUGAUCGGGAUAGGGACUGUAAUGGUUACCGAACCCUGUCAAACUACGAAUGGUUAUGCUGCAGAGCCUGGGAGUCAGACUACGAGAGAUAAGUCCCGUUGUCAAAAGGGAAACAGCCCAGACCAUCAGCUAAGGUCCCCAAUGCCAUACUAAGUGGAAAAGGAUGUGGGGUCUCAUAAACAACCAGGAUGUUGGCUCAGAAGCAGCCACCAUUUAAAGAGUGCGUAAUAGCUCACUGGUCGAGAGGCCCUGCGCCGAAGAUUCCCGGGGCUAAAGUAUGGAACCGAAGCUAUGGAUGCAUACGUAAGUAUGCGUGGUAGAGGAGCGUUCCCAUCGGGUUGAAGUCGUCCUGUAAGGGACGGUGGACUGGUGGGAAGUGAGAAUGUUGGCAUGAGUAGCGAAAAGAAUGGUGAGAAUCCAUUCCACCGAAAGCAUAAGGAUUCCUGAGCAACGAUCGUCGUCUCAGGGUAAGUCGGGACCUAAUCCGAGGCAAAGAGCGUAGGAGAUGGACAACUGGUUGAUAUUCCAGUACCGGCAGUGAUCGUUUGAACGAAGGAGUGACGCAGGAAGGCAGGUCCGCACGAGAUUGGUAGAUCGUGUGCAAGCGUGCAGGCUGGUUACCAGGCAAAUCCGGUAACUGAGGCUGAGGCGUGAUGCGGAGGGAACUUGUUCCCGAAGGGAUUGAGCCUACGCUGCCGAGAAAAGCUUCUAGUGAGAAAGCUGCCGCCCGUACCGUAAACCGACACAGGUAUGCGGGGAGAGAAUCCUAAGGUGCGCGGGAGAACCCUCGUUAAGGAACUCGGCAAAAUGUACCCGUAACUUCGGGAUAAGGGUAGCCACAAAGGUGAAGGGACUUGCUCCCGGAGCCCGGUGUGGUCGCAGAGAAGAGGCCCAAGCGACUGUUAACCAGAAACACAGGUGCCUGCGAAAGAGAAAUCUGAAGUAUAGGUGCUGACACCUGCCCAGUGCUGGAAGGUUAAAGAAGGAUGUCCGGGUUCGACCCAAAGCAUUCGACUGAAGCCCCAGUGAACGGCGGCCGUAACUAUAACGGUCCUAAGGUAGCGAAAUUCCUUGUCGGGUAAGUUCCGACCCGCACGAAAGGUGU
This 1982-nucleotide ribosomal RNA is filed under the name human gut metagenome. RNAcentral describes it as "bacterial LSU rRNA". It matches the Rfam family "Bacterial large subunit ribosomal RNA", at positions 3 to 2002 of the family's 2925-position model. The record is from RNAcentral.